UACGUAGGGGGGCGAGCGUUGUCCGGAGUUACUGGGCGUAAAGGGCACGCAGGCGGUGCGGCGCGUUUCGCGUGACAGCGGAGGGCUUAACUCUCCGAGGAUGCGAAAGACGGCGGCACUUGAGGGCCAGAGAGGGACACGGAAUUCCGGGUGGAGUGGUGAAAUGCGUAGAGAUCCGGAGGAACACCGAAGGCGAAGGCAGUGUCCUGGCUGGUGACUGACGCUGAGGUGCGAAAGCUAGGGGAGCGAACGGG
Molecule: ribosomal RNA, 254 nt
Filed under: uncultured bacterium
Lineage: Bacteria
Description: partial 16S ribosomal RNA
Rfam family: Bacterial small subunit ribosomal RNA
Source: RNAcentral